RNAcentral lists this long non-coding RNA (610 nucleotides) under Bos taurus (domestic cattle). Its description in RNAcentral is "long non-coding RNA NONBTAT000495". Lineage: Eukaryota; Metazoa; Chordata; Mammalia; Artiodactyla; Bovidae. The record is from RNAcentral.
CACAAACUGUCAAGGAGUUUGUGAAUGUUUGUCAAGGACCUCAGGUGACUGGAUGUAGGAAGGUAGAUACACGUAGACAGAUACAGAUGGGUAGGUAGGUAAGACUGUAAUAAGCACAAAGUAAGUGAAUGUGACCAUAUGCUUUAGGAGUUCAGAGGAAGGAAGACACAUGUAGGCAGAAAAUUCCCCCAAGAGGCAGAGUUGUUAGGAUAGAACAGUAGUAGCUAAAAUGCAGAAGUCAGAAAAUGGGAGUGUUGCCAGAAAAAAGGUGUGAAAAGCAGGUGAGAGUGGGAGAUAGGGUCAAGGUCUGGUAGUGGGGGUCAUGGAGCUGAGUACAGGAAGCUAUCAGUGGUCGAAAUGGAUGCUAGAUGGAUGAAAGAAGAAAUAAAAUGAAGCACUCCACUCCUUGAAGCCAUUUUUAACUGAACAGUAAUACCUCCACCAAAAAAAAAAAAAAAAACAGCAUUAUCAGAAACAUCAACUAUCAGCCAUAAAAUUAAUGGGGGCUGAAAUGCAUUCUAGGGGGCUUCAUUAGAGGGUCAAGGAGCCAGAAUAAGUCCCAUCUAUGCCACUACUUAUGAAAAUAUAAACUUAGCUAUUCUUGCCUCUG